AUUACCGCGGCUGCUGGCACGGAGUUAGCCGGAGCUUAUUCUCCCGGUACUGUCAUUAUCAUCCCGGGUAAAAGAGCUUUACAACCCUAAGGCCUUCAUCACUCACGCGGCAUUGCUGGAUCAGGCUUUCGCCCAUUGUCCAAUAUUCCCCACUGCUGCCUCCCGUG
This 167-nucleotide ribosomal RNA is filed under the name uncultured bacterium. Its description in RNAcentral is "partial 16S ribosomal RNA". The record is from RNAcentral.